CAUACUGCAUGUCCUUGGGGCUUCCUUCCCUUCAGCAGGUCUGUGCCAUCAGACUGUCACACUGCAGCACGCGGGGCACAGGCUUGCUUCCUGCAGUGCCCCAUGACUGAGCUGCAGAGAGGACUUUUGCCGCUACUGAAUACAGUGUCUUCUUGCCAUCAGGUUCUCCUGUACCAUUGAGUCAUUCCUGAGUCACUCGUCCUCUUGCCAGGAAGAGCCAGUUUUCUCUCAGGGAAUACAGCAACCUUCCUGGCUGAUAGAAAGAGACCAGCUGAAAAGUCACAAGACCAAGGUCAAAAUUGAAAUUUACUGUUUGUCUACAUUCCUGUGGAAACAUAAGGGAUGUUCAAGAAGCCAGCCAUACUCCUUAAGAGACAAGGGUCACUACUGGACCAUUACCAAACAUCUACAUGCUGUUCCCUGUGUGAUAUUUGGGGCUGUCCUGUGCAAGGUCAGGAGCUGCACUCAAUGAUCCUUGUUCAGCAUGCUACCUCUGUUACUCCAGACAGUAAAAGUAGCCUCUGCUCAAGGAACAUGCUGCUGCUGUAGCAGGGAGCCCUGAACUGGGAUCAUCCUUUUGAAUAAAGACCUGUGUGUGAGCAGCAAGGGUAUGACUUCAGAGUAAGAUGGUUUCUAACAAUCAGACUUCAGACACUGUUGAAAGAAAAAACCAAAAAUAUUAGACAGCUAAAUUUUAAGGCAAAGGUGAGACUGUACUUUGAAGCAUAUGUCCUCCACAAAGUACUUGCACUAAGCCAUUUAUGCAGUCGUGUUAGAAAAAGAUGGUAACGUAUCUUGGAUUUUAGUGCCUUAAUGAAGGAUGCCAUGAAUCAAUUAUAAACCAAUCAUUUUCCAAUUUAUUGGGUUUUUUCAGAUGAUGACAGUAAAAAUAAAGUGAAAGAAAGGAAAGUACAAACAAAAGCUGGUGAUAAACAGGUUAUGGAAUGUGAAAAUAUGAAGCAAAGCUGUGCUUCCUCCUGCUUGGGAAACUGAUACAAAACAGCAAACAGAGGAAACAGAGGCAUCACAUCUUUAGCAAAUAGAACAUUACAUAUUUAUGAGUAAAGCUGAAGAAAACAUAUGCAUAUUCAUCUAAUUAUCUAUUCAAAUACUUGUCCAUUUUCUAAGUUAACAUGUUCAGUUUUCUUUCUCAAGGUCUUGAAGAAGCUUUUCCCAUUAUAAUUUCAAGUGUGGUUUUACAACAAUAAUGAGGAACCACUUUUCUGCAAUAUUGAAUCACGAAGGAUCACUGGAGAAUUAAGGGAUAAAACAGGCUAGUUUAGAGAAUCUGUCAAAGAAGAGAUGAGAUCUUCCCUAGAGAUACUUCUUCUCUUACACUCUGAAACAAACUCUUAUUUAUGUAGUGCAGGAUUUUAAACAUCUUUCCCUAACCAUAAAGAAAGAUGUUCUGAUGAUGACAGCCAAAAGACCUCCUGAAAGUGAUAUGGCACUCCAGGCUUAAGUGGUGUUAUAAAUAACAGCAUUGCAAAUAAGUGGCUGGUUUAGGACUGGUGCUGCUCAGUUUAGUGUCCCCACUGAGACUCUGCUCCCCUGCUUUCUCCUCCCACUCUCCUCUGCAGUGGGAUGGAGAGGAGAAUUGGGGGCACAAAAGACAAAGAUAAUGGGCUGAGAUAACAACAAUUUACUGGAAACAAAAAUGAGGUAAGACAAUGAACAGCAACAGCAAUGAUACCAAUGACAGAGGGUACUAGAAAGAAGCAAUUCACAUGGAAUAUUCCCCCCACCCCCCCGACCAAUAGACAAAACCAGAUGAUUCUCUCUGCCAGAUUUGACUAGACCAGAGCCCCUUCUCCCCAGAGGAGAGUCCCAAGAGAGUCCCUUUUCCCUACCCCAGGUAGUGAUGUGAGGAGGUAUAGAAUGACCUCUGGGUCCUUGCCACUGCAAAAAAAUUAACUGUCCUGACCAGCACCAGGAUAGUAGUUAAAUAAAAACUCAGCUAAAGUUUAUCAGAGUUCAUGCACUUCAGUAAAGUGAGAUAACAGUGUCCAGUGUCUGCCACAGAUUUUAGCUCAGUUAGUGGUUCCACUUGUAAGCCAUUAAAAAUCUGCUUUUACAGUAUUUUAUAUUUAAACUAAGCCAAGCCAGCAGUGCCACAACAAAGUGCACCUGAGAGUGAUGAACUCACUUUGAUGGAUGUCUCAAAGCCACCACAAUCUGCAUGUAAGGUACAACUGCAAGGUUCAGCUGCUGAUCAGACAGCUGUCUCUUUCACAUCCCAAUCUGCGAAUUCAUCUUCAAUUCCAAGUCCCAGAACAGAGGAGAGAAAGGCGACAUACAGAUUCAACUAACAGAAAAAACUUUGGAAGGAAGCUGAACACAUCACUGAUUGUUCCUGCUUCCUAGGGCAGGGCAGGCAUCUGGUACAUGAGGUGCUUCCUCAGAGCCUUUCCCUAGGGUAUUCUCAGUGACCUCCUGGUACUUGCAGCCAUUCCCCAACCAGUCUAUUCCAGCACUUUGCUAUCAUUUUGAAGCAAAAGAAAAGAAGGGAAAAAAUGUAGAAUGUCUGAGUCCCUAUAAAGAACAGUUGUUAGUUUUAUACAGUUUCAUAUAUUGUUACUGUCGGAGGAUAAAUCACACUAACACAGUCUAAAUUGUCAGAGUAUCACAGUCUAAGCUAGAAAACAUAAUAUUUUCUUUCCAAACAAAGAAAAAUGCUAGAUCCUGAGGUGUUUCUGGCAUAUAGGCAAACAUUAUCUCAUGGGUCAACACAAGUCUGUUGUAGAAAAGAAAACCAAUUUCUGUAAUAGUUAUGGCUCUCUUGUCCCGAGCCAUGUCAAAGUGGUUCUGAGUCAGAGAAAUGCUUAUGCCCAUGAAGGAAGCUCCACACAGUCUUUUUGUUCACAAAAAGAUGAAAGAAGCUAAGGCUGAUCUGAGCAGAUGCCCUACUCUGAAGAAAAGGGGGUUAUUCUUAAUAAAUAGCAAAAUACUGGAAGAGCAAGACAGAAGAAUUAUUGCAAAGUGGUGAGAAAAAGGGUAACACAGGACAGGAGAGAACCACCUGGGAUAUGGCAGAUCUAAUUUCACACUAACAGGGCCAACAACUUUGUAUAAAUGAGAGUAUGAAUAUGCUGUGUUCUGUCUUUGUUUCCCUGAUUAUCUUUAGCUAUAGGCAGCAUGAAUUAUGCAGGCCCCCAGCCAGGCUGUGCAUUUACAGUUACAAAAUAAAAGCCAAGUCAAAAAGCUUG
This is a long non-coding RNA of Haemorhous mexicanus (house finch), 3206 nucleotides long. RefSeq lists it as uncharacterized. The record is from RefSeq and is a predicted model, not a curated record. Lineage: Eukaryota; Metazoa; Chordata; Aves; Passeriformes; Fringillidae. The transcript has 3 exons.